AACAGAGAGUUAAAGAGUACGUGAAAUUGUUGAAAGGGAAGCACUUGUGACCAGACAAAUUUGCAAUUAAUCAGCCCUCAAUUUUGGUGGUGCACUUGAUUGCAAGUGGGUCAGCAUCAGUUAUAGUAGUGGGAUAAAGACCUAAAGAAUGUGGCUCCUCUUUUGAGGAGUGUUAUAGCUUUUGGUUUAAUACUGCUUGCUUAUGACUGAGGAUAGCACUUUGAGUAAGGAUGCUGACAUAAUGGUCAUAAGUGACCCGUCUUGAAACACGGACCAAGGAGUCUAACAUCUAUGCGAGUAUUUGGGUUCAAGCCCUUAUGCACAAUGAAAGUAAAUGGAGGUGGGAACCAUUAGGUGCACCAUCGACCGAUCCUGAAGUUUUCUGAUGGAUUUGAGUAGGAGCAUAGCUGUUGGGACCCGAAAGAUGGUGAACUAUGCCUGAAUAGGGUGAAGCCAGAGGAAACUCUGGUGG
This 472-nucleotide ribosomal RNA is filed under the name Pachyphloeus sp. ITCV 896. RNAcentral's name for it is "eukaryotic LSU rRNA". It matches the Rfam family "Eukaryotic large subunit ribosomal RNA", at positions 379 to 870 of the family's 3401-position model. The record is from RNAcentral. Lineage: Eukaryota; Fungi; Ascomycota; Pezizomycetes; Pezizales; Pezizaceae.